GGAGAGAUGGCUCAGUGGUUAAGAGCACUGACUGUUCUUUCAGAGGUCCUGAGUUCAAUUCCCAGCAACCACA
This 73-nucleotide transfer RNA is filed under the name Mus musculus (house mouse). Its description in RNAcentral is "tRNA-Asn". The record is from RNAcentral. Lineage: Eukaryota; Metazoa; Chordata; Mammalia; Rodentia; Muridae.